UCAUUAAAACUAGAUCAGAUGAAAGAGAAGACAUACAAAAGAAAACCUUCACAAAAUGGAUAAAUUCACAGCUUAUUAAGGCAGGAAGAACUCCUAUUAAUGACCUCUUUACAGAUCUGUGUGAUGGCCAUCGCCUUCUGGAGCUUUUGGAAGGCUUGACUGGGAAUGAAUUGGCCAAAGAGCGUGGUUUUACCCGUGUGCACUCACUCAAUAAUGUCAACAGAGUGCUACAGAUUCUUCAGAAGAAUAAUGUUGAAUUGGUAAAUAUAGGAGGAGCUGACAUUGUUGAUGGCAAUCAUAAAUUGACUCUGGGACUCAUCUGGAGCAUAAUCCUUCACUGGCAGGUGAAGAAUGUGAUGAAAGAUGUUAUGGCACACUUAAAGCAAACCAACAGUGAGAAGAUCCUUUUGAGCUGGGUUAGGCAGUCAACCAAGAGCUACCCACAGGUCAAUGUUGUAAACUUCUCUAGCAGCUGGAAUGAUGGUCUGGCCUUUAAUGCUCUUAUCCAUAGCCACAGGCCAGAGCUGUUCGAUUGGAAUGUGGUGGAACAAAUGGACAAAGCUUAUGAGAGGUUAAAUCAUGCCUUCUCCAUUUCUGAAAGGAAUUUGGGCAUCGACCGGCUGCUUGACCCUGAGGAUGUAGCUACAGCUUCUCCAGAUAAGAAGUCCAUAAUUAUGUACAUCACCUCCCUGUUCCAAGUUCUGCCCCAUGGUGUGAGUAUGGAGGCCGUAGAGGAGGUUGAGACUCUCCCCCAAACUUUAAUUACUAAAGAGAAGCAUUUCCACUUUCAAACACAACAGCGCUACUCGCAGCAGAUCACAGUCAGUGUGGCUCAGAGUCAGGUACGCAGCCAGUCUCCUUCAAAUAAAUUACGCUACAAAAGCUACGCCUUCACGCAGGCUGCAUAUGUUCGGUCUCCUGAUCAGACAAGAAGGACCCCGGUUACUCUGUCUUCAGAAAGCCCAGAGGAUAUGUUGUCUUCACCGGGUCCUCUCCAACCUGACACAAACCAGCUAGAAAAUUACCAGAAUUCCCUGGAAGAGGUCUUGACAUGGCUUUUGUCUGCUGAGGAUGGCCUGCAAUCUCAGCCACCCAUCUCCUCUUUUGUAGAAGAAGUAAAAGAGCAAUUUCACACUCAUGAGCGUUACAUGAUUGAGCUAACUGCUCAUCAGGGAAGUGUAGGUAAUGUGCUGAAGGCAGGGAGCAUCCUCUUGGCUGAAGGUCAGCUGACUGAAGAUGUGGAGAAUGAAAUUCGGGAGCAGAUGAAUUUGUUAAACUCUCGCUGGGAACAUUUACGAGUGGCCAGUAUGGAACGACAAAGCAGGCUUCAUGAAGUUUUAAUGGACCUGCAGAAUCAGCAGCUGAAACAGCUCUCCACCUGGCUAGACGUAACCGAAGCUCGAAUUAAGCAAAUAGAAGCUCAGCCUUUGGGUCCUGACCCUGAAAAUAUAAAACAUCAAAUUGAAGAGCACAAGCUGUUACAAGAGGAUCUGGAAACGGAGCAGGUGCGAGUAAAUUCUCUGACUCACAUGGUUGUCGUUGUGGAUGAAAGCAGUGGAGACAGUGCUACAGUGGCACUGGAAGAGAAACUGCAGAAUCUUGGACAGCGAUGGGAAACCAUCUGUAAAUGGACAGAAGAGCGUUGGAUGCUUCUUCAGAAGAUUCUGAGGAGCUGGCAUCAUUUUACUGAGGAACAGCAUACGUUUGAGUCCUGGUUAACUCAGAAGGAACAGUUGUUGCUUUCCAUCCAGAGUUGUGACUCCACUGAUCACAAUGAAGUAAUGGCCAAUCUCAGAAAGCUUGCUAUUUUGAAAGCAGACAUUGAGCUCAAAAGACCCACCAUGGACAAACUUUGCUCCCUUGUUCAAGAUCUCUUGUCAAGCAUGAGGAAUAAGCAGACAUCAGAAAAACUUGAAGCACAGUUAGAAAAGUUAGCUCAACGGUGGGACAAACUAGUACAGUCCCUUCAGCUCACCAGCAUCAAGCUUCCUACAAGUCCUACUCCAUCCCAGUCUGAAAGUACAGACACGACAGUUGAAACCAGCAAUAUUAUGCAUCAGAAAAAAGUGGUGAAGCAUACUAAAGACCGUCUGACUACUCCUCCACCUCAAAAGAAGCGUCAGAUUGUUGUGGACUCAGAGCUUCGCAAGAGGUUUGAUGUAGAUUUUACAGAGAUUCACAGUUUUAUGACCCGCUCAGAAGCCACCUUGCAGAGUCCUGAAUUCUCAAUUUCACGCAAAGAGGGCAGUGUUGCAGACCUCUAUGAGAAAGUCUUGGCAAUUGAUAAAGAAAAACCAGAGAGGUUUAGAAAGUUACAAGAAGCUACACGGUCAGCUCAGGCCCUAGUAGAUCAGCUCACAAGUGAUGGCCAAAACUCUGAUGAUAUUCAGCAAGCUGCUCAGCAGUUACAUGCCCGGUGGGUUGAGUUUUGUUCUCUGCUGGCCGAGAGGCUAGCAUGGCUGGCCUACCAGACUAAACUACUGGCUUUCUACAAUCUCUUUCACAACUUGGAGCAAAUAGUAUCAAAUUCAGAGAACUGGCUAAAAAUUCAGCAGCCUCCAGCCUGUGAGCCAGAGCUACUGAGGAUCCAACUUGAGCGCUGCAGGGAUGAGAUUGCUCGACUGUCAGUGCUUGAGCCAGAAAUGAAGCACUUACAUGAACAACUCCAGGAGCUAAGGGAAAAGGAGGAAAAACAGGUGCUCUUUGAUGCUGAUACAGCUGCAUUUCAGGAGCACUACCAAAGUGUUCUUGCUGACCUACGGGCAAGAGAGAAACAGCUUGUAUUAGUCCAGACUAGCCUUCCACCUGCACACUACAAGGACGUAAUGGCAACCCUAAUGGCAUGGCUCCAACAAUGUGAAGACAAACUACCUUCUACAGCUGUAACUGAGUACCCUAUCAUGGAGCAAAGGCUGAAAGAUACCAUGGCAAUUCAAGCAGCACAACAAGAGCAGCAGAGUAAAAAGGAUGAUCUCAGUAGGAUGGCUGAACAGGUGUACCAGAAAGCCCCCCCGGAAAUAUCUCAAAAGUAUCACAUUGAGAUGGACAAUAUGAUGGCCUGUUGGAGACAUAUGUGGGAUCAACUAAGAGAAAACAUAGAGCUGUUGCAGGGUCACAUAUCCAUGCUGCAGCAGUUCCAGAAUGACACAAAGACCCUGCAGAAGUGGAUGGCUAAGGUUGAUGUUUUUCUGAACGAGGAGUGGCCAGCUUUAGGAGAUUCAGAGGCUCUGGAGAAGCAGCUAGAACAGUGCACGGCCUUAGUUAAUGACAUUCACACUGUCCAACCUAGUCUUAAUGGCAUCAAUGAGGUUGGACAGGUCUUGAAAAAAGACGCAGAGCCACCAUUUGCUGUGAAAAUACAGAAGCUGCUUGAUGAACUCAAUUCUCAGUGGGAACUGAUUUGCAAACAGGCGUAUGCGAAGAAAUCUGCCUUGAAAGGUGGACUGGAUAUGACAGUGAGUUUAAAGAAGGAGAUGCAAGAGAUGCAAGAGUGGAUUACACAAGCAGAGGAAGAUUACCUGGAGAGGGAUUUUCAUUAUAAAACACCUGAAGAACUUCAUACAGCAGUGGAGGAACUUAAGCGAGCUCAAGAAGAAAUACACCAGAAAGAAAUAAAGGUAAACCUUUUGGAAGAUAAAGUGACCAGUUUUAUUGCAAAGGCACCACCCACAGCCCAUGAGGCCCUAAAGAAAAAACUAGAUGAGUUGACGUCCAACUACCAAAGACUGUGCAGUCGGCUUGAUGGAAAGUGCAAGACUUUAGAGGAGGUGUGGGCUUGCUGGUGUGAAUUGCUGUGCUACUUAGAACAGGAAAACUCUUGGCUGGAUCUACUAGAACAGAAACUUAAUGAGACGGAGAACUUUCAAGGGGGAGCAGAUGAAUUAAAUGAAGCUCUGACUUCCUUAGAUAUCAUGGUAAAAGAGCAUCCUGAAUAUAACCGCAACCAAAUACGUGAGUUGGCCCAGACCCUUAUGGAUGGAGAAGUCCUUGAUGAACUCAUUCAUAAGAAAGUGGAAGAUUAUAACAUUCACUGGGAUGAACUUAUGGAAAGGGUUUUACAAAGACGAAAGCAGCUAGAGAAGAGCUUGCAGUGGGCAAACGAACAUGACAAAACUCUGCGUCAAAUCCAAGAUUCUUUAAAGGCAACUGAUCGUCAUUUAACUGCAUAUCUUGCGGAUGGUAUAGAUGCUGCUCAGAUACCACAGGAAGCUCAGAAAAUUCAAACUGAACUGAUUGAUCAUGAAGUGGCUCUAGAUGAUAUGAAGAAACGAUCCAGUGGCGAUGCCUCAGAAAAAAUGGUCCCUGAGGUUGAUGCUACAUAUGCUAAGUUAUUGGAUGUGAAAGCAAAGUUCCGACUUUUUCAAAAGCCGGCCAACUUUGACCAGAGGUUGCAAGAAUGUGAAUGUAUAUUGGAAGAAGUGAAGAAUCAGCUGGGGGUGCUAAGCAUCCACAGCUUGGAGCAGGAUGUGGUGCAGUCCCAGCUGGAACAGUGCAUGAAGUUGUAUAAGUCUCUAAGUGAAGUGAAAUCGGAAGUGGAGAUGGUAAUCAAGACAGGAAGGCAAGUAGUGCAGAGACAGCAGACUGAACAACCCAAAGAGCUGGACGAGCGUUUGACACAUCUCAAGCUCUUAUACAACGACUUGGGUUCACAGGUGACAGAAGGAAAGCAAGCACUAGAAAAAAGUUUGAAGCUAUUGAGAAAAUUUAAAAAAGAAACAAAAAGUCUAACAGAAUGGUUAGCAGCGGUUGAUAAUGAACUGACCUGUCGGUCGUCGGUGGAAGGGAUGCCAAGUGACCUAGAAGCAGAGCUGACGUGGGCCAAGGCCACAAAUAAGGAUACAGAGCAACGCACUCCCCAACUGUGUUUAGUAAGAGAUUUAGCAGAGGCCCUGAAAGCACUGCUCACAGAAGAAAACCUAAUUGAUGACAAAGUCAGCCUGUUGAACAGCAACUGGAUUGCUGUGACAUCACGCAGUGAACAGUGGCUACAUUUGUUGCUGGAUUACCAGAAUCAAAUGAAUACACUGGAACAGAAUAUUGCUCAUAUAAAUGCCUGGAUGGAUGAGGCUGAGAUUCAGAUGGACAAGAUGGAGGAUGAGGGCUGCAAGAACCAUGUCCUCAAGAGUCUACAAGCAGAAUUGGAAGAAAUGCGUGGGAAGGUAAUGGAGGUGCACAAUCUUGGAGAAGACAUCAUUAAAAACAGGGGGGAACAAUGCAGAAUUCACAUAGAGCCCAAGCUGAAUCAGCUCAGCCAACGCUUUGAAAUGAUUUCCAGAAGGAUUCUACAUGGACAGGCUUCCUCUCAAGAAGUAGAAGAGUACCACAGGCAAGCUAAUAAGUGGUUACUUCAGCUUGAAGAAGAGAUAAAAAUUGGUGAAAUUCUUAAAGAAGAUGAUUUCAUAGGAGAUACAUUUGCUGAUGAAGAUGAACUGAAGGACCUGUUCGUAAAAGGAGAAGAUCUCAUUCGGAGGACGACAGAUCCAGCAAAGUUAACUGUUUCUCAAAAACAUAAUUUGCUCCAUGAUAAAUACAACACCUUGAAGAACCUGAAAGCACUUAAGAGGAAGAAGGCACUUGCUUUUGCCCCACAGUGGUACCAGUUCUGUGAGAAGUCAGAGGACAUGAUGCACUGGCUUGACAGAAUUGAGAAGAUGCUGGCUGAACCACAUGAUUCUGCAAAUCAACCAAGAGUGGAGAUUGCCGAUGAGAUUGAACAGCAGCGUCCAGUACUUGAGGAUGUGCAAAGACUUGGUCACAAGCUCUCAGAAGAGGGCUUUAUUAAACUCGUGGAACCCCGCCUCAUUCCCAUUAAUAAGCGCUGGGAACAGCUGAAUAUAAAAUUUACUGAACUCCAUCAUGUCAGUGAACUGCAAGCAUUACUGCAUACCAUUGAUGAAAAUGAUGCAGUGCUAAACUCUUCUAAGUGCUGGUUAGACAAUGAAAAUACAUCGCAACAAGAAAAGUGCCUUAAGGAAGUAAAGCAUACUUUGGACACUCUUGAAUCUCCAGUCACACAGGCUUUAGAAAAGAAAAACAUACCCCCUCAUGUAAAUCCACUUGUUGUUCUUCUCAGUACCAAGUGGGAGAAGCUGAAGAAGCUCUAUCAGGAUAGGCUCAGAUACUUUGAAAAAUGCAAGAAAUAUAGGGAGGUGUUAAAAAACACCCAGGGUUGGUUGACUGUUGCAGAAAAAACAUUGUUGAAGUAUGAAGAAGAUCCAAACAUCCAUGCAAGCCAGAUCAAGGAACUGCAGGAAGACUUGGAAAAUCAAGAGCUUGCAAUAAAAGAGUUUAACGAACUAGGUGAGGAACUGGUCUUGCAGGGUAGAAAAGAUAAUGAAGAACAGGUUAAAAAUCAACUAGAUGCCGUCAAUAUUCGCUGGACUACAGUGUUCAAUCAACUGUCUGAAAUAAGGAGAAGGUCAGCAGGGGAAAAGAUUGUUCUUGCUGAGCUUCACGAAGUUAUGGGGGAAUUUCAGUCUUGGCUUGAUAAAGCAGAGUCUGUUGCUAACCUGCCAGUAGAACCAGACCAUAGGGAACAGCUCAACAAUGCAUUAGAAAAAGUUCAGGCUCAAGUAACUCAAUUACCAAGCAAAAUGCAAAUAUUAAACAAAAUAAAAACAAAAUCUUCAUUCCUGUCUCCUGAUAUGAACAAGGUUAUGGCGAACAAUUUUAAGAUUAUCAAUAUGCGAUGGGCCAAGGUGUCAUCUAACCUUCCUGAAAAGCAGCAACAGAUUGAGAAUCACUUGAGAGAUUUGAAUCUGUACCACAAGCUCUCCAGCUGGGCCUCUGCAACUAAGGGCCUACUUGAGCAAUCACCUGAAGCGAUAGAACAUAAGAUUGAUGACAUCCAGUCCAAGAAGCCAGAAAUUGAAACAGUUUUGGCCAAGGAUAGACCACAAUAUCAGCCUGAAAGGGGCCAGUUUGAUAAACUCAGUGCAGACUGGAUGAUCAUUCAGGUGCUGCUUAAGGAGUGGAAAACCAAAUGUCAAGUGACAACUGAAUACUUGACAAGCAGCGUCCCAGAUGUUUCAACAAUGGAUACAUUCACUCGUUCAAAUACUGAACUCAAUGACUGGCUCUCUCAUCUCGAUCACAUGAUCAUAAAACAGCGGGUGACAGUAGGAGAUCUCAGUGAAAUCAAUGACCUUAUUAUAAAACUCAAGUCAGCAAGAAAUGAAAUGGACCAGAGGUGCCAACAGCUGAAUAAACAGAUCACUGCUGCUGAAAACCUUAAAAACAAAACCAACAACCCUCAGAUGCGUGCUACAAUUACAGAUCAAAUUGAGAAAUUACAAGCACACUGGGAAGACUCACAUAGCAAGUUAAUGGACAGGAUAAUUCAACUUCAGAAUAUGUAUCAAGACUCCAAGGAUUGGCUGGAUGCCAAGAAUGUGGUGGAGGCUCACGUAAAACAAGCCAAUGAAAAACUAGAAGGUUGUAAGCAAGUCACACCGAGUGGCGACCACGCAAACGUUAAGAAAAUUGUUAUGGAUAUACAGAUGUGGCAAGCAGAAGUUGACAUGACUAAUGAACUGGCAAACAAACUACUGGACCAUUAUUCAGAUGAUGACACAAGCAAGAUUAAACAGAUAACUGAGAAUAUGAAUCUUGCUUGGGGCAGGAUCAAAAAAGGUGCAGGGGAUACAGAGGCAGACAUAGAGGCCAAACUACAGCAAAUGGAACAUUUUUAUGCAGACCUGGAAAUGUUUUGUAACUGGCUAACUGAAGCAGAGACUACAGCAAAUGUCUUACAAGGUGCUACAAACAAAGAAUGUCUUCUUGAGAAUGCAGCCAAAGUGCGACAGUUGCUAGACCAAUGGCAAGACCUCCAGAGGGAGAUUGACACCCAAACAGAUACAUAUCAUUCACUUGAUGAAAAUGGGCAGCGUAUUGUGGCAUCGCUAGGAAGGGCAGACAAUGCUGUAGUGCUGCAAAAACAACUUUACAACAUGGGAAGGCGCUGGCAGGACUUGUGUAAAAAAGUUAAUAGUAUGAGCCAUCACUUAGGUGAUAGUAUGGAACAGUGGAAGCAUUUUCACAUAUCCUUACAGGGUUUCCUGCAGUGGAUACAGCUUAGGAGGGAGGAGCUGGAGCAACAGAAACCAGUUGGGGGAGACAUUCCUUCAGUUCGUCAGCAACUAAUCACUCAUAAGGAUUUCAGGAGAGAGCUAAGUGCAAAAGAACCUUCAAUAAAUAGAGCUCUGGAUAAUGUGAAGAGUUUUCUGAUUGAGAUUCCAGGUGAAGAAAGGAAAGAAACCCCCACUGAAAGAGGUGUCAGCUCAGAGGAGAGAAUUCAAAACGUAGAGCGCAUUUUGCGUAAGGAAGCAGAAGACAUUAACAAACUUUGGAUAAACCUUGGUACAGCUGCAGCAGACUGGCAACAACAGCUGGAAUUAGCUUUGGAGAGACUGGUAGAACUUCAAGCUACAGCGGAUCAAUUAGAGAUAAAGCUACAACAAGCAGAAAUUGAAAAAAAUUCUUGGGACCCAGUUGAAAACUUGCUUGUUGACAAUUUAAGUGACCAAAUCGACAUGGUUAAGGUAUUCCAGGAGACCAUAGCUCCGAUUCAGGAUGACGUAAAUCAAGUCAACAAAGUAGCCUCUCAGUUAAAAAAGCCUGGUAUUCAACUUUCACCAGAAAAUCUGAAGAGAAGUGAUGAUCUCAGUAGGCGAUGGCGACUUUUGCAGAUAUCAAUAGAAGAACAUCUGUCCCAACUUAUUGAGGCCCACAAAGACUUAGGACCCAGUUCUCAGCAGUUUCUAGAAGUGUCCGUACAAAGUCCUUUUGAACGCUCUGUUUCUCCAAACAGUGUUCCUUAUUAUAUAAACCAUCUAACACAAACAACUUGUUGGGACCAUCCAAAAAUGGCUGAAUUGUACCAGUCCUUAGCGGAUCUCAACAAUGUACGAUUUUCAGCAUACAGAACAGCAAUGAAGUUACGACGGUUGCAAAAAGCUCUGUGCUUGGAUCUACUGGGAAUGUCAGCAGCAUGUGAAGCCUUUGAACAGCACAGCCUGAAACACAAUGAGCAGUUCAUAGACAUCAUACAGGUGAUAAACUGUCUGACAAGUAUCUAUGACCGUUUGGAGCAGCAGCAUAGCAGCCUCGUGAACGUUCCUCUGUGUGUGGACAUGUGUCUGAACUGGUUGCUGAAUGUUUAUGACACAGGUAGGACUGGGAAAAUUCGAACCCUGUCUUUAAAAACAGGAAUAAUCUCUCUCUGCAAAGCUCAUCUUGAAGACAAAUACAGAUUUCUGUUUAGACAGGUGGCUAGUGCCACAGGUUUCUGUGACCAGCGCCGUCUUGGCCUUCUGCUGCAUGACUCGAUCCAGAUCCCCAGGCAGCUGGGUGAGGUGGCAUCAUUUGGAGGAAGCAAUAUUGAACCUAGCGUGCGCAGCUGUUUUCAGUUUGCGAAUAAUAAGCCAGAACUUGAAGCUUCAGUCUUCCUGGACUGGAUGCGUUUAGAGCCUCAGUCAAUGGUUUGGCUUCCUGUACUCCACCGUGUUUCAGCAGCAGAGACAGCCAAGCACCAGGCCAAAUGCAACAUCUGCAAGGAAUGUCCUAUUAUUGGCUUCAGGUAUAGAAGCUUAAAGCACUUUAACUACGACAUUUGCCAAAGCUGCUUUUUUUCUGGAAGAGUGGCUAAGGGUCAUAAAAUGCAAUAUCCCAUGGUUGAAUAUUGCACUCCGACAACCUCUGGUGAAGAUGUAAGAGAUUUUGCCAAGGUGCUAAAGAACAAGUUCAGGACAAAACGUUAUUUUGCCAAACACCCCCGCAUGGGCUACCUUCCUGUGCAGACCAUUCUGGAGGGUGAUAAUAUGGAGACCCCUGUUACUCUGAUCAACUUCUGGCCUGUUGACCACCCCCCAGCAUCUUCUCCACAGCUGUCCCAUGAUGAUACUCACUCACGCAUUGAACAUUAUGCUAGCAGGCUGGCUGAAAUGGAAAACAGAAAUGGGUCAUAUAUGAAUGAGAAUAUUUCUCCUAAUGAGAGCAUGGAUGACGAGCACCUACUGAUACAGCAUUACUGCCAGAGUCUUAAUCAGGGUUCCCCCUUAAACCAUCCACAAAGUCCAGCACAGAUCCUUAUUUCAAUGGAGACUGAAGAGAAGGGGGAACUUGAGAGAGUUCUCAGCGAUCUCGAGCAGGAAAAUAGGAGACUUCAGGCAGAAUAUGAUCGACUUAAAAAGGCCCAUGACCACAAGGGCUUUUCACCUCUUCCUUCGCCUCCACCAUUGCUACCUGUUUCACCGCAGAAUCGUGAUGCUGAGCUCAUUGCUGAGGCAAAACUACUAAGACAACACAAGGGUCGCUUAGAGGCAAGAAUGCAAAUUCUGGAAGACCAUAACAAGCAACUUGAAUCUCAGCUUAAGAGGCUAAGACAGCUACUAGAGCAGGUGGUGAUGAAUUGUCCGGUGCCUUCCAGCAUCCAGGCAGUGGGUUAGGAGCAUUAACUGAGCAAACCAAAUAAAUCUAUUCCACAUGGACAAGGAACUGAACAGCUAAAUCCAUAACAGGGAUUAACAUAGGAAGGCUCAUCUUUACAAUAACAUUGGAUAUGCCAUGGAAUUAUUGGUCAAUGUGAUGACAGAAGAACAGGGUUUAUACUUGCAUAUUAUGACAUCUAAAAUUGUCAUGAUAUUUACUUAUAAAAUUGCAUGCUUUUGUAGUGUGACAACUGAACAGAAUAUGUUUACAAGGGAAAAUAAAUAAAAUCUAUUUUUCUGGGUGGUCAUGGUUUCAAAUUGCUGAUUUGAGUAGUUUCGUACAGGUCUAGAAUUGUUUUAUUAUUAAAAAUGUUUUUAAUCUUCUAUGCAAUUAAAAAACAUAAAGGGUAAUAACAUUUAACACUGGUUUAAGCAUGCUCCUUUGUUUUGCAGUGUGUUAACAGCAAUUUAGUGGUUUACUAUAAUGGAAUUUUUAUUAUAGAAUGGCUUUGUCAUUAUCAUUGUUUGCAGGGAAUGACAAAUGCAUAUUAAACGUCAAUCACCUAUGGUUUGAGUUAUAUGUGUCUCUGGAUCAGUCUUCCUUAACUAUCCCACAUUGAACAAACAUAUUUUAGGGCACAUAUUUUAGCACUAUAAUAUCACUAUUUAGUGUCGAGGGCCCUUUUUUUCUUGUAAGGAUUUUUUUCCACCAUCUGGGGCUUUAUGGGGGUCUUAACAUGUUCACAAAGUCAUGUAAAAUUGGAUUUUCAGCUUGGGCUGCUAAAUGUCAUGGGCUCUACUCAAAAAUUUUCACUUUUGCAAAACGCAUAUUACAUACAAUACACUACACACAUCCUACACACACUGCACAUCCCACGCCUCCAUUUCUGCCCCAUCUGCUCACUGGUCUCGAAUCUCGUGCUGAUUAAGUUUGAUGAAAUAAUUUAAAUUGCACUUUUCAAAUCAUUCUAGUUACAUAAUUAGUUCCAGAAGAUAUAGCUAACUUCUUGGUCAGCUGAGUAGGACAAUUAAGAUUUGUUAUAAUUGCAGAUGCUUUACGCCACCAUAUAUUUUAUGUUAGGCAAAACAAUCAGAGAUCUGAGUAGAUAUCACUUUCUGAACAUGUAGCCAUUUUGCAUAAUACCUGCUUAUGCCCUUAUCCCCUGCCAAGAUGAGCACUUGCUAAUUUAUUGUAUGCAAACACUUCUACUAUUCAGAAUGUUACCUGUUAGCAAUUAAACAGAUUAAAGUAAGAAAGUAAGAUUUUGAAAAGAUUUAAAACAGACAAAGAAUUGAGAAUGCAGAUUCGGGGGGGAAAAGAAUCCUUUUAGAGGCUGAAGGAGAGACAUGCAGUUUUAUAAUGAUGGCAUUACAUGUUAAGCAUUGGUUUAGAUGAAUUGAUUAAAAAAACAAUUAGGACAGAUGGUUUAGACAUUCUAUAUAAUACACACAGACCCUUAUAACACAGGUUUUUUUAAAUCUUAUUAAAGUUUUAACAUUGCUUGAACACAGCACAACAAUACACGACUCAGAGAGAAGCACUCAGCAUGGGAGCAGUCCAGGUAAACUUGUAGAAAAAGGAGAGCAACAACCAUACACUUUUGUAAAAGCUAUCUACAAUACAGUUAAAUCUUGCUUUAAGUCCUUGGAGGAAAAUUUUACUGACAUUAUCUAAGACUAAAGGUAACUCCAAGUGAAAAUAAUUUUUGGAUAAUUGACAAUGCGCGUAUUAUUCAUUGUAAAGCGGCAGCUUACAUUUUCUAAACGACCCAUCUUCUGCACCAAGCCUACAUUAUAAGGUAAAUUAGUACCUCACUUUUCUGCAGCCCAUUCAUGGACAUGCAUAUACUGUCCACAUAUAUGCAGUUUAGGGUACAAAUGUGAAACAGACUUUAAAAAAGUUGUUACUCAUGUAUGCUGGAACGCAUAAAGGAGUUGAAAUUGACCACUUCAGCUGCAGGUGCUAAAGAAAUAAAGCAUUUUCCGAGGUCUUAGUUUUGUACAAGCUCAGU
RNA transcript from Clarias gariepinus (North African catfish), 12439 nucleotides. It is a transcript of the gene named dystrophin, with no coding region annotated. NCBI's taxonomy places the organism in Eukaryota, Metazoa, Chordata, Actinopteri, Siluriformes, Clariidae. The transcript is spliced from 78 exons. The record is from RefSeq and is a predicted model, not a curated record.